Molecule: ribosomal RNA, 1548 nt
Filed under: Klebsiella pneumoniae
Lineage: Bacteria; Pseudomonadati; Pseudomonadota; Gammaproteobacteria; Enterobacterales; Enterobacteriaceae
Description: bacterial SSU rRNA
Rfam family: Bacterial small subunit ribosomal RNA
Source: RNAcentral
AAAUUGAAGAGUUUGAUCAUGGCUCAGAUUGAACGCUGGCGGCAGGCCUAACACAUGCAAGUCGAGCGGUAGCACAGAGAGCUUGCUCUCGGGUGACGAGCGGCGGACGGGUGAGUAAUGUCUGGGAAACUGCCUGAUGGAGGGGGAUAACUACUGGAAACGGUAGCUAAUACCGCAUAACGUCGCAAGACCAAAGUGGGGGACCUUCGGGCCUCAUGCCAUCAGAUGUGCCCAGAUGGGAUUAGCUAGUAGGUGGGGUAACGGCUCACCUAGGCGACGAUCCCUAGCUGGUCUGAGAGGAUGACCAGCCACACUGGAACUGAGACACGGUCCAGACUCCUACGGGAGGCAGCAGUGGGGAAUAUUGCACAAUGGGCGCAAGCCUGAUGCAGCCAUGCCGCGUGUGAAGAAGGCCUUCGGGUUGUAAAGCACUUUCAGCGGGGAGGAAGGCGUUAAGGUUAAUAACCUUGGCGAUUGACGUUACCCGCAGAAGAAGCACCGGCUAACUCCGUGCCAGCAGCCGCGGUAAUACGGAGGGUGCAAGCGUUAAUCGGAAUUACUGGGCGUAAAGCGCACGCAGGCGGUCUGUCAAGUCGGAUGUGAAAUCCCCGGGCUCAACCUGGGAACUGCAUUCGAAACUGGCAGGCUAGAGUCUUGUAGAGGGGGGUAGAAUUCCAGGUGUAGCGGUGAAAUGCGUAGAGAUCUGGAGGAAUACCGGUGGCGAAGGCGGCCCCCUGGACAAAGACUGACGCUCAGGUGCGAAAGCGUGGGGAGCAAACAGGAUUAGAUACCCUGGUAGUCCACGCCGUAAACGAUGUCGAUUUGGAGGUUGUGCCCUUGAGGCGUGGCUUCCGGAGCUAACGCGUUAAAUCGACCGCCUGGGGAGUACGGCCGCAAGGUUAAAACUCAAAUGAAUUGACGGGGGCCCGCACAAGCGGUGGAGCAUGUGGUUUAAUUCGAUGCAACGCGAAGAACCUUACCUGGUCUUGACAUCCACAGAACUUUCCAGAGAUGGAUUGGUGCCUUCGGGAACUGUGAGACAGGUGCUGCAUGGCUGUCGUCAGCUCGUGUUGUGAAAUGUUGGGUUAAGUCCCGCAACGAGCGCAACCCUUAUCCUUUGUUGCCAGCGGUCCGGCCGGGAACUCAAAGGAGACUGCCAGUGAUAAACUGGAGGAAGGUGGGGAUGACGUCAAGUCAUCAUGGCCCUUACGACCAGGGCUACACACGUGCUACAAUGGCAUAUACAAAGAGAAGCGACCUCGCGAGAGCAAGCGGACCUCAUAAAGUAUGUCGUAGUCCGGAUUGGAGUCUGCAACUCGACUCCAUGAAGUCGGAAUCGCUAGUAAUCGUAGAUCAGAAUGCUACGGUGAAUACGUUCCCGGGCCUUGUACACACCGCCCGUCACACCAUGGGAGUGGGUUGCAAAAGAAGUAGGUAGCUUAACCUUCGGGAGGGCGCUUACCACUUUGUGAUUCAUGACUGGGGUGAAGUCGUAACAAGGUAACCGUAGGGGAACCUGCGGUUGGAUCACCUCCUUACCUUAAAGAA